CAAUAGCGUAUAUUAAAGUUGUUGCAGUUAAAAGCUCGUAGUUGGAUUUGGGACUGGAGUCGUUCGGUCGGCCGCAAGGUCUGUUACUGAACGGCUCUGUCAUCACAUUCCCAGAGACCUGCCGUGUACUUUACUGUGCGCGGUAUGGGAUUUGGGACGUUUACUUUGAAAAAUUAGAGUGUUCAAAGCAGGCUUUCAUAGCCCGAAUACAUGAGCAUGGAAUAAUGGAAUAGGACUACGGUUCUAUUUUGUUGGUUUCUACGACCGUAGUAAUGAUUAAGAGGGACAAUUGGGGGCAUCCGUAUUUCGUUGUCAGAGGUGAAAUUCUUGGAUUUACGAAAGACGAACAACUGCGAAAGCAUUUGCCAAGAGUGUUUUCAUUAAUCAAGAACGAAAGUUAGAGGAUCGAAGACGAUCAGAUACCAU
RNAcentral lists this ribosomal RNA (426 nucleotides) under uncultured eukaryote. RNAcentral's name for it is "SSU rRNA". It matches the Rfam family "Eukaryotic small subunit ribosomal RNA", at positions 592 to 1018 of the family's 1831-position model. The record is from RNAcentral.